Lupinus albus (white lupine) is the source of this 1249-nucleotide non-coding RNA. The record is from the annotation of a GenBank genome assembly. NCBI's taxonomy places the organism in Eukaryota, Viridiplantae, Streptophyta, Magnoliopsida, Fabales, Fabaceae.
UGAACCUGACAUUAUAAUUUAAUAGGGUAGAGGGUACUCAGUUCAUUUUUUUGAAUCCAAAGAAUAAAAACUCUCAUUAUCCUUUGUCAUGAUACCUAGAAAGGGACACAUCAACCCUAAUAUACGUGCAGGCCAGUUUUCUUUAUAUAUAUCUGCACUCUCUCUUACAUUUCAUGGCACUACUCAAAGUGAAGGUGAAAUCUGAAAGACUCUCUAUCUAGUUCUUCAUUAUCCCUGUGCUCUUUGUCAUGGCACUUCAAGUUGAAGGUUACAAGAUUGAAGAACAAAUCGAAGUGUGGUAAAUGUUAUGGCGAUAUCUCUCCUGAGCUUAUUCUUCUUACAUUCUUCUUUUAUCUUUUUUAACUUUAUGAAUAAUGUUUAAGUUUUCUUGACCUUGCAAGUCCAAAACUUUAAUAAUCAAGGGUCAAUAUUACUUAACAUGUCUAAAGAAAGAAGAUAACAUGUAAUAGUUUUGUUAAACUACUUAAGAAGCUAAAUAUCAUGUACUAUCCUUCCUCUAGAGCUUCAUAGUUUAUUUACAUCUAAUGUGUCAUUGGUAAAAGAAAUGUAUUCAGGUUUUCAAAGCUUGAUGCUCCUACUGUAUGCAAUGGAUUAUGCCUUAUGAAUUUGUUUCUUUUAGAAGCCUUACAAAUAUAUAUUUUUAAUCAUUUUAUCCUUAACUCGGAUUGAAUAUGAUGUCUGCUAGAAGGAGAGGGUGCAUUACCACCAUUCACUGUGAACUAACUCACUGAAGUUUAUUAUUCUCACUGAUUUUGAGAUGUGCUGAGAGUUUUUGCUACUUGCAACAUCCCACUAAUUUUGGAGACUUCAGAUCCUCUACUAUCAGAUAGAAAUGAGGACAUGUGAAAUAAAUAAGCUGGAAUAAGCUGAUUUCUGUAAAGUCGGAAAUAGAUUUUCUGUGGUGUCUAGGAGUUAGCUUAUAAUCUCUUUUCAAGCAUUUAAAACAAAAUUUCGUGAAGUAAUUCUUAUGGGUUGACUUCUAUCCAUCCAUUUUAAUUCAAAGAAUGUCACUAGUUAAGCAUUUAGCCAACAACUUGCUCAUUGUAAUGCUUUCACUGGUUAUAGCUUAUAAUCUCUCAUUGUAAUGCUUUUUGGGAAGUCUGUAUUACCUACUAUGCUUGUUGUGUGUCUAAGUUGUUAUUAUUGUGUCUCAUGUCCAGAAUCUUCAGGCUUAUGCUUUGUUUUAGUUAUGCAUUUGCUUGGAACUAUAUUUUUAAUUUAAGUUUAU